GGAGGUAUAGCUCAGUGGUAGAGUCAGUGCCUAGCAUUCACAGGGUCCUGGGUUCAAUCCUCAGUACCUCCA
RNAcentral lists this transfer RNA (72 nucleotides) under Camelus bactrianus (Bactrian camel). It matches the Rfam family "tRNA". From Rfam's summary of the family: Transfer RNA (tRNA) molecules are approximately 80 nucleotides in length. Their secondary structure includes four short double-helical elements and three loops (D, anti-codon, and T loops). Lineage: Eukaryota; Metazoa; Chordata; Mammalia; Artiodactyla; Camelidae. RNAcentral also lists the same sequence under 2 other names. The record is from Rfam by way of RNAcentral.